UGCGGAGUGGGCAUGCUGCAUCACAAGGGCCACCCAGAACUGGCUCAACUCCCAUCAAGCCAAGUUCCCGGAAGAGAUCACCCAGCUCGUCAUGCUCCCCAACAACAAGGCGACGAAGAAUUUGUAUGUCAUCCAUAUCAACUUUCGAUGCCACUUUCUGUGCCUACCAUGGUGACCACGGGUAACGGGGAAUCAGGGUUCGAUUCCUGAGAGGGAGUCUGAGAAAUGGCUACCACAUGCAAGGAAGGCAGCAGGCGUGCAAAUGACCCACUCCUGACGCGGGAAGGUUGUGACG
This is a non-coding RNA of Pelobates cultripes (western spadefoot toad), 295 nucleotides long. Lineage: Eukaryota; Metazoa; Chordata; Amphibia; Anura; Pelobatidae. The record is from the annotation of a GenBank genome assembly.